RNAcentral lists this ribosomal RNA (253 nucleotides) under uncultured bacterium. Its description in RNAcentral is "partial 16S ribosomal RNA". It matches the Rfam family "Bacterial small subunit ribosomal RNA", at positions 524 to 776 of the family's 1533-position model. The record is from RNAcentral.
UACAGAGGGGGCAAGCGUUGUUCGGAAUUACUGGGCGUAAAGGGCGCGUAGGCGGCCUGCUAAGUCGAACGUGAAAUCCCCGGGCUCAACCCGGGAACUGCGUCCGAUACUGGCAGGCUUGAAUUCGGGAGAGGGAUGUGGAAUUCCAGGUGUAGCGGUGAAAUGCGUAGAUAUCUGGAGGAACACCGGUGGCGAAGGCGGGUCUCUGGGCAGUAACUGACGCUGAGGAGCGAAAGCGUGGGGAGCGAACAGG